UGUAGCGGUAGGACGGAAGGGGGACGCCUUGUGCGUGCUGGGUUCUCGAAAACCAGUCUGUCAACCCUCUUUCGUUCUGCCACCAUA
RNAcentral lists this non-coding RNA (87 nucleotides) under Acinetobacter sp. yr461. The record is from RNAcentral. Lineage: Bacteria; Pseudomonadati; Pseudomonadota; Gammaproteobacteria; Moraxellales; Moraxellaceae.